UGUUUUAUGUUGCUGUGAUUAUAAAAAUAUCAAUUGAUAAACGGACAUUUAUUUCGGCCGGACGUACAGCCUACAGCCUAUUCUCAUACCCUCACAAAAAUCACCACCCUCACUAUUGUGCGGCUUUCCGUAUGCUGAAGCGAUUUCAAAAGCACAAAUACUCAAAAUUUCCUCACAAAUUUGCGAUGUGUGAAAGCAAACCUCCCAAUGCAAAAUCGAUUAUGUUUGUUGAAAGAAAUUUGCAAUUACUUUAUUGAAAUAGAAUGGAGGAACUAUUCUUCCAAAGGCGUUAUCUAUUAUAACUAUAAGUAUUUGUCUAUUAACAAUAAAUAUGUAACUUACCGUCUUUGUACAUUUAACUACCUUCUAAGUAUGAAUAAAAAAGACAUAUACAUUAGGA
Bactrocera tryoni is the source of this 400-nucleotide long non-coding RNA. RefSeq lists it as uncharacterized. NCBI's taxonomy places the organism in Eukaryota, Metazoa, Arthropoda, Insecta, Diptera, Tephritidae. The transcript has 2 exons. The record is from RefSeq and is a predicted model, not a curated record.